AACGAACGCUGGCGGCGUGGAUAAGACAUGCAAGUCGAACGGAUUCGUUGGCGUAGCAAUACGCUGGCGGGUCAGUGGCGCAAGGGUGCGUAACACGUGGGCAACCUGCCCUGGAGACUGGGAUAGCCCGCCGAAAGGCGGAUUAAUACCGGAUGCGGCUACCGAAUGAUUAUUCGGGACGCUAAAGGUGGCGCAAGCUGCCGCUCCUGGAUGGGCCCGCGGCCUAUCAGCUAGUUGGUUGAGGUAACGGCUCACCAAGGCUAUGACGGGUAGCUGGUCUGAGAGGACGACCAGCCACACUGGAACUGAGACACGGUCCAGACACCUACGGGUGGCAGCAGUCGAGAAUUUUUCGUCAAUGGGGAAACCCUGACGGAGCGACGCCGCGUGGAGGAUGAAGGUCUUCGGAUUGUAAACUCCUGUCAUUGGUGAACAAAGUACUGCGGUUAACUGCCGUGGUGCCUGCUAGUAG
This 472-nucleotide ribosomal RNA is filed under the name uncultured bacterium. Its description in RNAcentral is "bacterial SSU rRNA". It matches the Rfam family "Bacterial small subunit ribosomal RNA", at positions 29 to 487 of the family's 1533-position model. The record is from RNAcentral.